UCUGGACGGGGGAUCACUCGCCUUGUCCGUCGAUGAAGAGCGCAGCCAACUGUGAGAACUGAUGUAAAUUGCAGGACUCAGUGAACAUC
Molecule: non-coding RNA, 89 nt
Organism: Acanthosepion pharaonis
Lineage: Eukaryota; Metazoa; Mollusca; Cephalopoda; Sepiida; Sepiidae
Source: the annotation of a GenBank genome assembly